GGGCAACCCAGCUAAUUGUGAGAUUAGUUACCUGUUUUAGAACAGGGGCGAACCUAGGGAAGUGAACCAUCUAAGUACCUAGAGGAAAAGAAAUCAAUAGAGAUUCUGCAAGUAGUGGCGAGCGAAAGUGGAGAAGCCAACAUGAGAUAGUUAAAUAAUUAGGAGAACGACUUGGGAAAGUCGACCGUAGUGGGUGAGAGUCCCGUAUCUGAAGAUUAU
Molecule: ribosomal RNA, 219 nt
Filed under: uncultured Stichotrichia
Lineage: Eukaryota; Ciliophora; Spirotrichea
Description: partial Bacterial large subunit ribosomal RNA
Rfam family: Bacterial large subunit ribosomal RNA
Source: RNAcentral